RNAcentral lists this ribosomal RNA (253 nucleotides) under uncultured bacterium. RNAcentral describes it as "partial 16S ribosomal RNA". It matches the Rfam family "Bacterial small subunit ribosomal RNA", at positions 524 to 776 of the family's 1533-position model. The record is from RNAcentral.
UACAGAGGUCUCAAGCGUUGUUCGGAUUCAUUGGGCGUAAAGGGUGCGUAGGCGGCGCGGUAAGUCGGGUGUGAAAUUUUGGAGCUUAACUCCGAAACUGCAUUCGAUACUGCCGUGCUUGAGGACUGGAGAGGAGACUGGAAUUUACGGUGUAGCGGUGAAAUGCGUAGAUAUCGUAAGGAAGACCAGUGGCGAAGGCGGGUCUCUGGACAGUUCCUGACGCUGAGGCACGAAGGCCAGGGGAGCAAACGGG